Non-coding RNA from Hordeum vulgare subsp. vulgare (domesticated barley), 125 nucleotides. Lineage: Eukaryota; Viridiplantae; Streptophyta; Magnoliopsida; Poales; Poaceae. The record is from Rfam.
CUUAUACUUUCUUCAUCUAAAAAUACUUGUCAUAAAAAUGGAUGUAUCUAGAUAUAUUUUAGUUCUAAGUACAUUUAUUUUUAUCCAUUUAUGCGACAAGUAAUUCCAGACGAAGGGAAUAUAAA